This is a long non-coding RNA of Micropterus dolomieu (smallmouth bass), 510 nucleotides long. RefSeq lists it as uncharacterized. Lineage: Eukaryota; Metazoa; Chordata; Actinopteri; Centrarchiformes; Centrarchidae. The transcript is spliced from 3 exons. The record is from RefSeq and is a predicted model, not a curated record.
ACUGUUAUGACAUGUGGAGCAAAGGCUGUGUCUAAACUGCUGAAACCCGCUGACAUGAAGAAUGAUAGAUAACGUUAGUAGAAAUGCAGCUGCCUAGUGUUAAGACCUUGGCUGUGCACAAUGAAAGCUCAAGGUUUUGACCUCUUGUAGCCAGUAACCUGCCUGUAACUGGCCUCUGCGUGGUUUGGGAACUAAGAUAAAGGGACAACAGUCUGCUUGUCAACAUUAAGCGACCUUAUCGUGAUUUUACACCUGCCCGUCAGGGAAGGAAUCUGCUGUCACUGACUGGAGGUUCACCUGUGUCAAGUCCAUCAUACCUGCACGCUUAUUUCUGCUAUUUAUGAUCUGAUUCCAUGGAUACUCUUCAAAGAAACAGAAAAUCCUUCUUUGAUGCAUCUUGUAACACCAUGGAGGAAAAACAAGGUUGUUUUCUACAGCUGGCCAGCCACUCGCCCGUUGGACAGUAUCCCAGUGAGAAGAUCUGCAGUGAAACCAUCAGUUAUGGUAGAU